GGUUUUAUGGUGUAGUGGUGAGCACACUAGACUCUGAAUCUGGAGACCGGAGUUCGAAUCUCCGUAAAACCA
Molecule: non-coding RNA, 72 nt
Organism: Nylanderia fulva
Lineage: Eukaryota; Metazoa; Arthropoda; Insecta; Hymenoptera; Formicidae
Source: the annotation of a RefSeq genome assembly